GACAGAGGGUGCAAACGUUGUUCGGAAUUACUGGGCGUAAAGCGCGUGUAGGCGGCCCUGCAAGUCGGGUGUGAAAUCCCACGGCUCAACCGUGGAAGUGCACUCGAAACUGCAGGGCUAGAGUCCUGGAGAGGAAGGUGGAAUGCUUGGUGUAGAGGUGAAAUUCGUAGAUAUCAAGCGGAACACCGGUGGCGAAGGCGGCCUUCUGGACAGUGACUGACGCUGAGACACGAAAGCGUGGGGAGCAAACAGG
RNAcentral lists this ribosomal RNA (253 nucleotides) under uncultured bacterium. RNAcentral describes it as "partial 16S ribosomal RNA". It matches the Rfam family "Bacterial small subunit ribosomal RNA", at positions 524 to 776 of the family's 1533-position model. The record is from RNAcentral.